RNAcentral lists this ribosomal RNA (253 nucleotides) under uncultured bacterium. RNAcentral's name for it is "partial 16S ribosomal RNA". It matches the Rfam family "Bacterial small subunit ribosomal RNA", at positions 524 to 776 of the family's 1533-position model. The record is from RNAcentral.
UACGAAGGGGGCUAGCGUUGCUCGGAAUCACUGGGCGUAAAGCGCACGUAGGCGGCUUUUUAAGUCAGGGGUGAAAUCCUGGAGCUCAACUCCAGAACUGCCUUUGAUACUGGGAAUCUCGAGUCCGGAAGAGGUGAGUGGAACUGCGAGUGUAGAGGUGAAAUUCGUAGAUAUUCGCAAGAACACCAGUGGCGAAGGCGGCUCACUGGUCCGGUACUGACGCUGAGGUGCGAAAGCGUGGGGAGCAAACAGG